RNAcentral lists this signal recognition particle RNA (93 nucleotides) under Rhodospirillaceae bacterium. Its description in RNAcentral is "signal recognition particle sRNA small type". The stretch from base 4 to 85 matches the Rfam family "Bacterial small signal recognition particle RNA". From Rfam's summary of the family: The signal recognition particle (SRP) is a universally conserved ribonucleoprotein involved in the co-translational targeting of proteins to membranes. Archaeal SRP consists of a 7S RNA and homologues of the eukaryotic SRP19 and SRP54 proteins. Lineage: Bacteria; Pseudomonadati; Pseudomonadota; Alphaproteobacteria; Rhodospirillales; Rhodospirillaceae. The record is from RNAcentral.
AGACCGGCGGCGGACGGCCGCCUCGCCAACCCGGUCAGAUCCGGAAGGAAGCAGCCGUAACGAGCGCAGGACGGGUCGCAUGUCCGGCCUCCC